UGAAAGCAUCUAAGCGCGAAGCCAGCUCUGAGAUGAGUAUUCCAUUUCCCUUCGGGGAUAAAAGGGUCGUGGUAGAUGACCACGUUGAUAGGCUACAGGUCGAAGUGCAGUGAUGUAUGCAGCCGAGUAGUACUAAUAACCCGAAUGCUUCCUUUUU
RNAcentral lists this ribosomal RNA (157 nucleotides) under Saprospiraceae bacterium. RNAcentral's name for it is "partial 23S ribosomal RNA". It matches the Rfam family "Bacterial large subunit ribosomal RNA", at positions 2772 to 2925 of the family's 2925-position model. The record is from RNAcentral. Lineage: Bacteria; Pseudomonadati; Bacteroidota; Saprospiria; Saprospirales; Saprospiraceae.